AAAAAGGCAAACCCUGGAUUUCUGUAUUCAACUUUGACUGUCCGUCUUAUAUGAAAUUUUUUUAUAAUUCGUAUUUUCAUUGUUGUUAGAUGAUAAAAUAUGAUUAAUAUUUUAUGCGUGACUUGUCUUUUAAAUUUUUUUUCACAAUUUUUUUAAAUAAGACGGACGGUCAAACGUUGGGCAUGGAAACCAGGGUUUGUCUUUUU
Molecule: microRNA precursor, 206 nt
Organism: Oryza sativa Japonica Group (Japanese rice)
Lineage: Eukaryota; Viridiplantae; Streptophyta; Magnoliopsida; Poales; Poaceae
Rfam family: MIR812 microRNA precursor family
Source: Rfam